UGAGUAACGCGUGGGUAACCUACCCCAAAGUCCGGGAUAACAGCGGGAAACCGCUGCUAAUACCGGAUGCCUUUACCUUGGGGCAUCUUGAGGUAAAGAAAGGCAACGCUUUGGGAUGGGCCCGCGUCCCAUUAGCUAGUUGGUGAGGUAACGGCUCACCAAGGCGACGAUGGGUAGCCGGCCUGAGAGGGUGGACGGCCACACUGGGACUGAGACACGGCCCAGACUCCUACGGGAGGCAGCAGUAGGGAAUAUCGCGCAAUGGACGGAAGUCUGACGCAGCGACGCCGCGUGAGCGAUGAAGGUCUUCGGAUCGUAAAGCUCUGUCCUUGGGGAAGAAGGUCUUCGGACUUGACGGUACCCAAGAAGAAAGCCCCGGCUAACUACGUGCCAGCAGCCGCGGUAAUACGUAGGGGGCGAGCGUUGUCCGGAAUUACUGGGCGUAAAGGGUGCGUAGGCGGCCCUUUAAGUCGGAUGUGAA
Molecule: ribosomal RNA, 481 nt
Filed under: uncultured bacterium
Lineage: Bacteria
Description: bacterial SSU rRNA
Rfam family: Bacterial small subunit ribosomal RNA
Source: RNAcentral